RNAcentral lists this transfer RNA (76 nucleotides) under Shigella flexneri. RNAcentral describes it as "tRNA-Gly(gcc)". It matches the Rfam family "tRNA". Rfam says of the family: Transfer RNA (tRNA) molecules are approximately 80 nucleotides in length. Their secondary structure includes four short double-helical elements and three loops (D, anti-codon, and T loops). Lineage: Bacteria; Pseudomonadati; Pseudomonadota; Gammaproteobacteria; Enterobacterales; Enterobacteriaceae. RNAcentral also lists the same sequence under 1 other name. The record is from RNAcentral.
GCGGGAAUAGCUCAGUUGGUAGAGCACGACCUUGCCAAGGUCGGGGGCUCGAGUUCGAGUCUCGUUUCCCGCUCCA